This 1328-nucleotide long non-coding RNA is filed under the name Callithrix jacchus (white-tufted-ear marmoset). RNAcentral describes it as "lncRNA (ENSCJAG00000087355.1)". Lineage: Eukaryota; Metazoa; Chordata; Mammalia; Primates; Cebidae. The record is from RNAcentral.
AUAAAUCUCACUGAUGACCACCUGAAGGAUGAGCUGAAUGGGAGACCGAGUGGACACUGGAGCCUCUGGAAAGACGUUGGUUGGAGAGCACCGUCAUGACCCCCUGUCCUUUCCUCUCUGCUGGGAUCAUUGACCAGUAAGACAAACGUGGCUCCCUGUUGGAGGCUGGAGAGGGAUCCCAAACACAUCUGGAGCUUUGAGCGUGAGAGGGACGGGAUUUUACCAUGUUUGCCCAGGCUGGUUUCAAACUCAUGAGCUCAAGGUUACAGGCGUGAGCCACUGUGCCCAGCCUGCUCUGCAAUGUGGAUCCACAUGUGAGUCUUCCCUGAGAACAACUGGUAGCCAGUGGUAUUUAGCCUUCUUGAUCUCGAUUCAAGAUUGAUGAAAAUAAUGAAAAUUGUGACUCUAUGCAGAUUGUACCCACUGGGUACCUAGUAUAAGACAUUUUAACACUCAAGUACCCUGUCCAAGAGAAAGCACCGCUCAAGAGUUUUUGAAAGCAGGAAUGAAACAGGAACAGUUCUUCGUGGUGCUGAUAAUACCAUAAACUGUUUCUGAGGCUCCAGGUGCUUUGCCCGCUGGUGUUAGCCCUGUGUUUAUUGUUUUUAGAGCUGGAACCUAUUGCCUCAGGGCUGAGUGACCGUGAAUUUUCAUAUCGAGGAUAAGAUACCAACUUCCAACAGAACACUGGUGGAAAGUUUGUCUUUUUUCUAACAUUGGACGAUUUCCUUCUCAGGGAGAAAGGAAUCAAUGAUGUAUUAUUUGGCAUAUUUUAAAAUUACCUCCAGGGGCUGCAAUGGAGCGUGAACAGCUACUUUCCAAAGAGUAGAUUAGGAAUCCAUUGAGCACCGGUGCCAAGCCCAGUCAUGCCUCCAACUCUUCAGUGUGAUGUGCUUAUUGACUUAGCAUCUGACAGAGCUGAAAGAGCCUUCAGUGAGUCAUUCUGCACGAUCUCCGUGUCCCUGUUCAACCCAAAUAUCUGGCACUCUCCGACAGAGCCAACCUCUUGCUGCCCUGCUCAACAACUCACAACCGCUUACAGGUCACUAGACCUUGAGAAGGCACAUUUGGACCUGCCAUCCUGGACUUUGAGCCGGAUGUGGCAACUGGAUCAGAGAACAAAUACGCCUUGGCUUCUGCUUCUGAGGACCUAUCUCUUUUCCAAAGCUGUUCAUUGUAUAAACAUCCUUGGAAAGAUACUCUGGAACAAAGACAGUGAUAACCUCUGCUCUAAGAUGUGCACAAAGGUCUUCGAGGAAUCACCACGCUGUCUUCCACAAUGGUUGAAGUUAUUUGCGAUCUGCUUGGAUUUUAAGAAAAGAGAGUAG